This 460-nucleotide ribosomal RNA is filed under the name uncultured bacterium. RNAcentral describes it as "partial 16S ribosomal RNA". It matches the Rfam family "Bacterial small subunit ribosomal RNA", at positions 338 to 795 of the family's 1533-position model. The record is from RNAcentral.
CCUACGGGAGGCAGCAGUGAGGAAUAUUGGUCAAUGGCCGAGAGGCUGAACCAGCCAAGUCGCGUGAGGGAAGACGGCCCUACGGGUUGUAAACCUCUUUUGUCGGGGAGCAAAGCGAACCACGUGUGGUUCAUUGAGAGUACCCGAAGAAAAAGCAUCGGCUAACUCCGUGCCAGCAGCCGCGGUAAUACGUAGGGGGCAAGCGUUAUCCGGAUUUACUGGGUGUAAAGGGAGCGUAGACGGUGCGUCAAGUCUGAAGUGAAAGCCCGGGGCUUAACCCCGGGACUGCUUUGGAAACUGGCGCGCUAGAGUGCUGGAGAGGUAAGUGGAAUUCCUAGUGUAGCGGUGAAAUGCGUAGAUAUUAGGAGGAACACCAGUGGCGAAGGCGGCUUACUGGACAGUAACUGACGUUGAGGCUCGAAAGCGUGGGGAGCAAACAGGAUUAGAUACCCUUGUAGUC